Molecule: ribosomal RNA, 378 nt
Filed under: uncultured organism
Description: partial 16S ribosomal RNA
Rfam family: Bacterial small subunit ribosomal RNA
Source: RNAcentral
GUAGGGUCCAAGCGUUAUCCGGGAAUCAUUGGGGCGUAAAGAGCUCGUAGGCGGUUCAGCAAGUCGGCUGUGAAAGUCCGAGGGCUCAACCUCGGAAUUGCAGUCGAUACUGCUGUGACUUGAAUUCGGUAGGGGAGAACGGAAUUCCACGUGUAGCGGUGAAAUGCGCAGAUAUGUGGAGGAACACCAGUAGCGAAGGCGGUUCUCUGGGCCGAAAUUGACGCUGAGGAGCGAAAGCGUGGGGAGCAAACAGGAUUAGAUACCCUGGUAGUCCACGCCGUAAACGUUGGAUACUAGGUGUGGCGGUCUUACCAAUGACUGCCGUGCCGAAGCUAACGCAUUAAGUAUCCCGCCUGGGGAGUACGGCCGCAAAGGCUA